RNAcentral lists this ribosomal RNA (460 nucleotides) under uncultured bacterium. Its description in RNAcentral is "partial 16S ribosomal RNA". It matches the Rfam family "Bacterial small subunit ribosomal RNA", at positions 338 to 795 of the family's 1533-position model. The record is from RNAcentral.
CCUACGGGUGGCAGCAGUGAGGAAUAUUGGUCAAUGGACGAGAGUCUGAACCAGCCAAGUAGCGUGAAGGAUGAAUGCCCUAUGGGUUGUAAACUUCUUUUAUAUGGGAAUAAAACGUUCCACGUGUGGGAUUUUGUAUGUACCAUAUGAAUAAGGAUCGGCUAACUCCGUGCCAGCAGCCGCGGUAAUACGGAGGAUCCGAGCGUUAUCCGGAUUUAUUGGGUUUAAAGGGAGCGUAGGUGGAUUGUUAAGUCAGUUGUGAAAGUUUGCGGCUCAACCGUAAAAUUGCAGUUGAAACUGGCAGUCUUGAGUACAGUAGAGGUGGGCGGAAUUCGUGGUGUAGCGGUGAAAUGCUUAGAUAUCACGAAGAACUCCGAUUGCGAAGGCAGUUCACUGGACUGCAACUGACACUGAGGCUCGAAAGUGUGGGUAUCAAACAGGAUUAGAUACCCUUGUAGUC